CUGACUGCUAUCGGAUGAUACUAAGCCAUGCGAGUCUUUGUAGUAAUACAAGGCAUACGGCUCAGUAACACGUAGUCAACCUACCCUAUGGACAAGAAUAAUCUCGGGAAACUGGGCAUAAUUCUUGAUAGAUCAUAAUGCCUGGAAUGGUUUAUGGUUAAAAUGAUUCGUCGCCAUAGGAUGGGACUGCGGCCUAUCAGCUUGUUGGUGAGGUAAUGGCCCACCAAGGCGAUUACAGGUACGGGCUCUGAGAGGAGAAGCCCGGAGAUGGGUACUGAGACACGGACCCAGGCCCUAUGGGGCGCAGCAGGCGAGAAAACUUUGCAAUGUGCGAAAGCACGACAAGGUUAAUCCGAGUGAUUUCUGCUAAAGAAAUCUUUUGCCAGUCAUAAAACCACUGGUGAAUAAGGGGUGGGCAAGUUCUGGUGUCAGCCGCCGCGGUAAAACCAGCACCUCAAGUGGUCAGGAUGAUUAUUGGGCCUAAAGCAUCCGUAGCCGGCUUUGUAAGUUUUCGGUUAAAUCCAUGUGCUCAACGCAUGGGCUGCCGAAAAUACUGCAUGGCUAGGGAGUGGGAGAGGUAGACGGUACUCAGUAGGAAGGGGUAAAAUCCUUUGAUCUAUUGAUGACCACCUGUGGCGAAGGCGGUCUACCAGAACACGUUCGACGGUGAGGGAUGAAAGCUGGGGGAGCAAACCGGAUUAGAUACCCGGGUAGUCCCAGCUGUAAACGAUGCAGACUCGAUGAUGCAUUGGCAUAAUAGCCAGUGCAGUGUCGCAGGGAAGCCGUUAAGUCUGCCGCCUGGGAAGUACGUACGCAAGUAUGAAACUUAAAGGAAUUGGCGGGGGAGCACCACAAGGGGUGAAGCCUGCGGUUCAAU
RNAcentral lists this ribosomal RNA (877 nucleotides) under uncultured marine group I thaumarchaeote. RNAcentral describes it as "SSU rRNA". It matches the Rfam family "Archaeal small subunit ribosomal RNA", at positions 23 to 906 of the family's 1478-position model. Lineage: Archaea; Thermoproteati; Nitrososphaerota. The record is from RNAcentral.